AUCAGACCAAACUGGAUCGGUUAAAUAGUAUCGGUUCCGAUUCCGGUUUGAGGUGAGAACCGGACCACACCCACCCCUAACUUUUGUUAGGGCUGGAUGGAAUCUAGGCGAAGUGAGACAACAUAUGGAGUUUCAUAGAGGAAAGUAAGAAAGAGUUUCGGGAGGGAAUUUGAGACUGAAAUUGAGUUACAUGAGGCAUUUCAAUAAUUUAGCCUUAAAAGAACGAUAGGUUUUGUUGACAUAAAUUCCAACUUUUUUUUUAUUCUAUGAAAACAUAGUUAUAUAUAUCUUCCUAACAACCUCCACCUCCACCUCCACAACCUCCGCCUCCACUGCCUCUGCCUCCGUAUCUUUUCUUGCUUGAUCCUUCAUCAUCACCACAAGCAAAUAUGACCAUUGAUAUAAGUGAGAGAGACAAAAGAAUCAUGCAGAGCAAAAAUAUCCCCCCCGAGUUGUCUUGCAUGAUGCCUAGUUCCUCUGCAUGGCCACCACCUAGAACAACAUAUGUUCCUCUGGCCAUUUUUGCGAUGAGUUACAAUAUUAGCUAGCUGUUCGUUAGUCCAAGCACAUAUAUAUUUAUAAUGUAAUGUCAGCAAAUGCCGUGUGCAAUUCCAAGUCUUAUGUUGACAAUUCUAGCUGAUGUUGAAAGGCUUGAAGAGACAAACAGGAACUUGCGAAAAUUUUCAAAGAGAAAGGGAUAGCUAGCUAGAUUGAGAUCUACAGGCAAUAAUUGCUGCAAGCCUUAUGUUUUGCCUCGGGAAAAUGCUAAGAAGAUCAGAUCCUUAAUUGUGUACAAGAAAAAUACUUGCGUCCACUCCAGAUUCUAUCUCCACCCCAUUGACAUUGACCAAUGAUAUUUUUGUACAUGUCUUUUCUUUUAAAUUUUUGGGUUUUUAUCACAAUGGUCCCUAAUGUUGGCGAAAUUAUCACAUUUGAUCCUUUAUGUUUUUUUUUUUUUUUGACAUUAUUGGUCAUUUAUGUUACACCUCACACAUCAAUUUGGUUAUGCUAUUAGAUUCCGUCAAAAAUUUUGAGAAAAAUUAGGUAUUAGAUAUAACUAUCCUUAUUAAUUAGUAUUUGAGACAGACAGUAUUUCUAUUUGGGUUUUAAUACUUAGGAAUUGAAUUUUAUUUUGAAUUUGACUAAGAGCAUCUCCACCCAUAAGGGCUAAGUCUAGGGCAAGGGCAAGCAAGGGCUGCCACUAUUCACAUGAAUAGUGUCAGCCUUGCCAUUUGUGGUUCCACCUAUGAGGGCUAAGUCUAAGGCAAUUACUAUUUACUUAAAUUUAUUUUUUAUUUUUUUAUACUUAAACCAUUGAUUUUGAUCAGCUUUUCGGAUAAGAUUUUCGAUUCCCAAGCGUUAAUAUUUAUCGUAAAAUUAUCACCUAAAAAUCAAGAUAACAUUUUCGGAUAAAAUUUUAAAAUUAAAUUUGGUGUGGAAAGUGAAUAAUAUUGGUAGGUAUGUAUAGAAAAAUUUUCCUGAUUUUUUUGAUUUUUUUUUCAAUUUUUUUUAGCCAAAAAUUGGACAACCGUUGGAUUGUGCAAGAUUUUUUUAUCGGAGGCUCCAGGAGAAGCCACGUGGCUUGUAACCAUUGGGCAAUGUGCGCUGGUGGGUCCAACAAUAAAAAAAUAUUUGAAAAUAGCUGCUGACGUCAGCAGCCCUCGGGCAACAGCCCAAUUAAUUUCUGCCUGUGGACUUGCCGGGCUGGUGGGUCCCAUGCCUUGCUUGGGCUAGAUUUUAUGUGCUGGAGCCGCAUUGGGCUUGCCAUGGGGGCCUUUUGCCCAGUUUGAUAGCAGCGCUGGAGCUGCUCUAAAGAUGAGGCCAAAUUCUUGAAGUCCUUCUGUGGUACAUCAGUUGUACUGGUACAGCCACUCACAUGGGGGUGUUUUUAAAACAAGGGAAAACGGUUGUGUUGGUUAACAGGUUAAAAGCAAGGGGAAAAAUUGACGCCCCUCCUUCACGGUACUCCUUCCCCUUCUUCUUCUUCCUAAUACCUCACCUACCCUUCUUUCUAGUUCAUUUUCUUUCUGUUUGGCUCAAUUCUAACAUAGUAUCAUGACUGAUUUCUCUUAUUCACAUGCUUAAAUCUUGAGAACCUCUUCUUAGAAAUUCCAAAUUUAUUUGAUUUCUUCUAUUUCCCCAAAUCUGAUUCACCUUUGAUUCAUUAAACUUCAACUAUUAUUUAUUAUGGCUUGUACUAAACCUCUAAUUGCGGCCCUUCUACUAAAUCCAAAUGGAGCAGAUGUACACAAAGUUGCAGUCAUGAACUGAUGAAACUUCCUUCUCCUGCGAAAUAUGUGAAAAAUGCAGAAGCUGGGAUGGGUUUGAUUGAUUUUUGGGUUUAAUUGAUUUUUCAUGUUCGGGUUUGAUGAAGCUGUGUUUGAUUCUUGAUGUCUUGGUUUGAUUGAUUUUUGAUGUUUGUGUUUCUUUUAGACGGGAAGAGAGAGAGAGAGAGAGAGAGAGAGAGAGAGAGAGAGAGAGAGAGCUGAGGGAAUGGGGGAGAAGGAGAGGUGUCGGGAAGGGAAGGAGGGGAUGGGUUAGCUAUUUUUGCAUUUUUGCAUCAUGGUACGUGUAAUUGCAUGGUCUUUUUACAAUUAUCCAAUUAUUAUCAGUAAUACAUGUAAGUUCAUAGUAUGUCUUGAAAUUUUAUAUGCAAUUAUUUACAAUGGAUGUGCAAUUGCACAACAAUUCUAAGACAUGCAUUAACAACUGAAACAUCGACAAAGGCGUAGUCUCUUUGAAAUUCCUUCCACUAUUUGGAAAUUGCAUGGUUGUCAAUACAAAUGCUAACGACACAAAUUACGUUCAAUUACACAUUACUCAUAUCGCAAUUGAAUUUGUAACUUACAUCCUAAAGUCGAUAAGUAUAAGAAAUUGCUAUUACACUUCAUAACUGAGACCCUAAAGCCUAAUAAGCAUAUAAUUUAAAUUAAUAAAAAAACCCCUUAAAUAUCAACAUACCAUCCAUAAGUAUCACUAAUAAUCCUAUCGCUCAAAAUAAGUGACCGAUUAAUUGGUUCUCCAUUUUUCUUGGCAAAAAAAACUGGUUCUCUUUUUUAAUUGUUAUGUAUACUAUAUACUCAUUAAAAUAUUAUAUUUGACUAAAAGAAAUUAAAAUAUUAUAUAAUAAUAUAUAGAUACCCUUAGAAAAGAAUAAUUAGACUAUCUAUAUUAUAUUUAGACCAAAAAAAUAAAAUGAAUAUAACUAAUGUAGGGUUUAACAUUGCAAUUGAGAGCCAUACUGUAAAUCUAAGCUAUUUACUCGAGACCUAAAUCCAAUUUCUUCACCUCACAGAGGUAAGGCCACGGAUUAAAAUAUCAACCAUGCAAAUAAUAUCGGGCCUCCAAUUUACGGAUAUUUCAGGAGAUAUAUUGUUAUCGUUUUAGGUAUUGGAAAAAAAAAAAAAAAAAAAGAAGACAGAUAUAGGCAUUGAAACACAUAAUUUUGGUAUAAAACUUUCAUAAAUGUUAUGUACAUUAUCAAUGAAUGUAUUGAACAAAUAAAACUCAAAAUUUACUAAUAAUAAGAUAUACAUAUGAUGAAAUAUAAGUGGUAUGUAAUGCGUGUUAAUGAAAAAUUUGAAAAUAAAAUGUUGAUUAGAAUGGAUAAACCAUACAUAAAUCCAUAGUUUGUUUUAACAUUGGAUUACAAUUUAGAUAAGUGUCCAUCUACAUAAAUGAAGAGCUCCAAUGAGGUUCAAACAAUGAGGAACAACCAUCUAGAUUCAUACAAUAGUCAUACCAAGUCACGUAACCCAAGCAGUUUGUAAGCCAUGUUUGAACAUGGUGCACAUAGGUCUCUCUUGAGCUCCCUACUAUCUUCCCAUAUAUGAGAUAAUUAAGAUUAACCCAACUAGUAGGAAAGGGCGGCUCUGAAAUAGUGCAAGUGGCGGCAAUGCACAGGGCCCCUGAUUUUUGAGGACCCCUUAAAUUUUUUUAUUUUACAUAAUUUAUAUUAAUAUUAUAACAACUGUAUAUGUAAUAACCCAAACCUAAAUUAAUAUUUAAUUAUUAAUUUAUUAAGAAGAAAAGACAAUUUUGCCCUUUGAAUAAUUUAUUAAAGAAAAGUUGACUUUUUGACCGAGAAGGAAUUUGACACUUCCACACACACACCGUUGCGUAGAGCACGACGAAACGAGUUCGUAGACACUAAGUGGGCUCAAAUAGGAGCUUUAACGAAGAAAAUACGGUUAAAAUACUCUGAGGGGCAAAACAGUAAUUUAAAAAAAUCAGAUUUUAAAACCUCAUUGUCUCUCUUCUCCCUCAGUCUCUCUCUCUCUCUCCCUCCCCGAGCGCUCUCUCCCUCACUGCGACAAAACACCCCCUGAUCGGAUUUUGCGGUGCCGUCGCCACCACCGACCACCGUUCACGUCGGGAUCAGGCCCGAUCGAACCGCCGUCGAGCCCCCGUCCUUUCCCGACCAGCCCCACCCCUGGAACCGCCGGAUUCCGUCGGAAAAAGCUCAGAAUCGUGCCGGUUUUGACAGAAACUUCGCCGGCUGCGUUCGUCGUCGUCCGGCCACCAUUUCCGACGAUCUAGGUAUGGAUUCUGAACCUCUCGAGCUGUUCUAGCUGCCUGUUAGGUAGGAUUCAAUCGAUUCUUAGCGUAGGUAGUUCGAUUUGCGAAUUGAAAUUCGGUCAGUUUUGAAAUCUCUAUUCCGGUCACUUCCAGUCAGUUUUUGGGGUAGGUCCAAGAACAAAAGCAGCUCCAAAUAGGGUGUUAUACUUAGGGUAGGAGUUUGGAGUUGUGGUUUUGAGAUUUUCUGGCGAUACGUAAUCGCUUUGGGCACCCAGCGCGUGUGGCAGCGCGUGGGAGAGUGUAGUGAAGUUGCACUGUGUCUCGAUGAGAUCCUUAGGUUGUCACGAGAGUGUAGGAAUUUGCGAAUCUCAAUUUGGAUACCGUUUGAGCCUCGAACGGAUUGUUGCAUAUUGUGCGAUUUCCUGGUUCAAUAUUGUUGAGCUAUUGGAUCUUAAUCUUUUUCAAAUAUGUUACUCUAGGCAAUUUCAGAAUCGUUUAGGAUUUGACGGAUCUUGAAUCAGAGUCCCAGAUACUCCGAAAUCGCGAACCUUAGGGCUAGGGUUUAGAAAUCGUGCGAUUGUACGAUCGAGACCAAACCCUCGGGACAUGUGUUCUAGGUAUAUUGGAACUUCUAGAGGCUUCCGGAUCAUAAUUGCGAGGUCAUGGACCCACGGGGUCCCGGGUUGACUUUUUGGGACUUUAGCCUUUUUUUGAGUCUGAAGAUACUGCUAAACUCUUCUAUGUGGAAGGAAAGCUUUUUUUGGGCAUAGGAACAACUUUAAUUUGACGCACGUACUUCUAAGGGCCGGGGUCAGGAUUUUUAAAUUAAUACUAUAUUGCGUAUUGUAUUAAUAGAAUAUUAUGGUAAUUGAAUCAGGCACCAGGGCACCAGUUGACCCGCAGGAGGGACCUUCAAGAGGUCCAGCGAGCACGAACCAUCUGUGAGUGGACUCUUUGUUUUUAUAAAUGAAUUUAAGCAGUUUAGUUACAGUAUUUGAUCUUGAAUAAGUUUUAUUCAAAUAUUAGCGUUUUAUAAGCUGUUAUAUGCUUUUAAAUAUUUUGUUUUGCAUGUUGUCGAGUGAAAUCUCAUUUAAAGGAUAUAUGAAAAGAAAUUCUAGUUAAUUAUCAGAUAAAUGGCAGCAGAGUUUUAGAGUUUACAGAAAUUCAGUUAUUCAGCAUAUUUUCUUUAGAAACUUUAUAUUUUCUUAAACCACCUUGUACCCAGAUAUACAAAUGUUUCCUUCAAAUCAAAUGUUGCCUUCCGAUUUUAUUGGUAGCCUUCGGUUUAGUCAACAUGCUUGACAGUUGCCCCACGAGUUCUAUGGUACCUGAACUCGUGUGGAGUGAGUAAUGCGGAUCAGGCUGACUACGGUCCCCUGAAUCCUACUAGUUGCGGCUCGAACUGACCUUGUGUCAUUGAGACCUGCGAGUACGUGUCACCCAUGGUGAUGCAAGGAAUUGACGGAUAUAAGGAAUUGACGGAAAUAAGGGGUACACCUAGGUGGUAGUUUUACACUGUUUUCAAUGCCCUAGGAAAUUAAUGUUGGCCAUGAAUAUGAUUGGCAUAUAUAUAUGUAUAAUUAUAUGAGUGUAUUGAUUUCAGUACGAAUAUAAUAAAGAGACUAAUUUAGUUUGUAUAACUGUUUUUACAGUGGGGUUAGUAUGUUCUUAUGUAUUUUUCUAAACUUGUUUGUUUUGGGUCCACUCACCCUUUUUACUGUUUUGCGCCCCCAGGCAGUAGGCGUGCACAGGGAUCCACCAUCGGGUCGUUUUCCACCUUCCGCGCUUUCCUUUUUGAUGUAGGAUUUUUGUUUUGUAAAAGGAUUGACUUCUUUGUAAAUUCUUAGUAGUCGCUCUGAUAAUUAGCCCUAGACUUAGAAUUUAACUGUUGGAAUGUAUAUAUACGUAUGCUGGCAGUUGGUUAUGUAUAUAUGCUUGUUUGGCAAAUGUAAAUGUUUUGGUAUUGAUCCAAUUUACAAGGGAGACUCUACUGAUUUUUCGGCAGAAAUCAAUCUUGUUAUUUUAUCGUGCUUUGUAGGGAAGGACAAGUAGGUCAUUAGUGCCCGACAUCCGCCAGGUGUCGGACAAGCACAGGGUCCGGCUCGGAUUCCAAAACAGAAUUUGGGUCGGGUCUUGUUAGUAUAUAUACUCCAACGUGCAACAAAUUGACACAAAAAUUUAUUUAGUAGAGUUGGUUUCUAGUGUAUAUCCCUUGGUACAAGGCUUACGUGAAAAAUUUUAAGAACAAAAUUUUAAAUAGUUUUAAAAAAGAAGUACGUGAAAAAUAUAAGGGGAAAGAUCCAAUUAAAUUAACAAUAGUAUAUAUCACACCCAUACGCUUUUUCUUUAAAAAAUAAUAAUAAUAAUUUCUUCGACUCAAAACAAAACAAAACAACAUAAAAAAUAAAAAAAUCAUGUCUUCUUCUUUCUCAUGAACUCUUAUUUUUUUUUUACCUAACAUACAAACAUUUAACUUUAUCAAAUGAAUGCAACAUACUCAACGAACGCAACCCUUGCGUUCGCGUGAAAAAAUAGUGCGUUUGUUUGAAAAACAAAGUUAGUGAGGUCUAUUUUCCUGGGGAACGGGCAACUUUACUCAACGAACACACUCCUUACGUUCGCAUGAAUAAAUAUCCCGUUUGUUUGAAAAAGUAAGUUCAUUUAGCCUAUUUUUCUAGGGAACAGACAACUUUACUCAACGAAUGCAACCCCAACGUUCGCGUGAACAAAUAGCCUGUUUGUUUGAAAAAGUAAGUUAGUUGGGCCCAUUUUUCCGGGGAAUGGGCAACUUUACUCAACAAACGCAACCUUUGCGUUUACGUGAACAAAUAGCCUAUUUGUUUGAAAAAUUAAGUUAGUUUGACCUAUUUUUCCGGGGAACGGGCAACUUUACUUAACAAACGCAACCCCUGCGUUCGUGUGAACAAAUAACUUGUUUGUUUGAAAAAGUAAGUUAGUUGAGCCAAUUUUUCAGGAGAACGAGCAACUUUACUUAACAAACGCAACCCCUGUAUUUACAUGAACAAAUAGCCUGUUUGUUUAAAAAAGUAAGUUAGUUUGGCCAUUUUUCCGGGGAAUGGCGAACUUUACUCAACGAACGCAACCCCUGCAUUCGCAUGAACAAAUAGCCUAUUUUCUUGAAAAAGUAAGUUAGUUGGACCCAUUUUUCCAGGGAACGGACAACUUUACUCAACGAACGCAAUCCAUUGCAUUCGCGUGAACAAAUAGCCCGUUUGUUUGAAAAAGUAAGUUAGUUGGGCCCAUUUUUCCGGGGAACGAGCAACUUUACUCAACGAACGCAACCCCUGCGUUUAUGUGAACAAAUAGCCCGUUUGUUUGAAAAAGUAAACAAAUAGCCCGUUUGUUUGAAAAAGUAAGUUAGUUUGGCCCAUUUUUCAAGUGAACGGGCAACUUUACUCAAUGAACGCAACCCCUGUGUUAGCAUGAAAAAAUAGACUGUUUGUUUGAAAAAGUAAGUUAAUUGGGCCCAUUUUUCAGGUGAACGGACAACUUUACUCAACGAACGCAACCCAUUGCGUUCGCGUGAACAAAUAGCCUAUUUGUUUGAAAAAGUAAGUUAGUUGGGCCCAUUUUUCAAGAGAACGAACAACUUUGCUCAACGAACGCAACUCAUUGCGUUCGCGUCAACCAAUAGCCUGUUUGUUUGAAAAAGUAAGUUAGUUAGGCCAAUUUUUCCGAAGAACGAGCAACUUUACUCAACGAACGCAACCCCUGCGUUUACGUGAACAAAUAGCCCAAUUUGUUUGAAAAAGUAAGUUAGUUUGGCCAAUUUUUCUGGGGAACGGGCAACUUUACUCAACGAACGCAACCCCUACAUUUACCUGAACAAAUAGCCCGUUUGUUUGAAAAAGUAAGUUAGUUUGGCCCAUUUUUUCGAAGAACGAGCAACUUUACUCAACAAACGCAACUCCUGCGUUUACGUGAACAAAUAGCCCGUUUGUUUUAAAAAGUAAGUUAGUUGGGCUUAUUUUUCCGGAGAAUGGACAACUUUACUGAACGAACGCAACCCAUUGCGUUCGCGUGAACAAAUAGCCUGUUUGUUUAAAAAAGUAAGUUAGUUGGGCCAAUUUUUCUGAGGAACGGGAAACUUUACUCAACGAACGCAACCCUUGCAUCCGCGUGAACAAAUAGCCCGUUUGUUUGAUAAAGUAAGUUAGUUGGGUCUAUUUUUUCGGGGAACGGGUAACUUUACUCAACGAACACAACUCCUGCAUUUGCGUGAACACAUAACCCGUUUGUUAGAAAAAGUAAGUUAGUUGAGCCCAUUUUUCCAGGAAUGAGAAUCUUUAAUCAAUGAACGCAACCCUUGGGUGCAAGUUCAAGGAUUAAAUCAACAAUUUAGCCAUGUUUAAUGGUUUUUGGGCAUAUAUCGCAUAUUUGAUAGCACAUGUGUGCAAUUCUCAAUAAAUAAUAUGCAUUUGCAUAUACCUGUAUGCAAUUUUGUAGCAUCUAUGUGCAAUUCUUAUUUUACAAUAUGCAAUUGCAUAUAUAGUAUGCAAUUUCGUAACGUCUGUUUGCAAUUCUUAAUUUACAAUAUGCAAUUGGAUUCCGCCCUUCUUUUGGUCUUUAACUUUGUCGUUUUUACUAGAAGGCUCAUCGGCUCACACUCUUAUAAUGUAUGUAAAAAUCACCAAAUUUCUUCUUUUUGGCUAGAGGGCCUCUUUUUUGUGUGUGUUCAUUUGCAAUGACAAUACAGAUAAUCUACUACUACCUAAAAGCUAUAGAAAAUUAAAUGUCAUAUCAUCUAUUUUCUCUAACCAAGACUACAUAUCACAUAAAUAAGAAAUAAGAUCUCAAAAAAGAAACAUAAACAAAGAAAACACUUUACCUAAAAUAUUUUGUAAUACGUUUAGCCCAAUUUUAACUUGUAGAGUACACAAAUGUUAGCCCCUAACUAUGAUAAUUGUUAUCAAUAAAUACAAAGAUGAAUUUAAAUUAGUUCUUGCAUUUGUUUUAAAUUCUUUUCAAUAUGGUCAACUAUGAUAAUUGAUUUAUUUUUGUAAAGGUUAUCAAUGAAUACAAUACAACAUAUGUUACCAAAUUAUUGAAAAAAAGAACUUUUAAGAUCAAUUAAAAGUGAAUAGAAAGAAAAGUAUAAAUAAAAGGUAUACAAAGGUAUCCUUUUAAAAGUUAAUAUUUUCAUUCUACACAACUCAAGACCACUUGCGCCACACGUUAUAUCUUGCUAUAUGAAUUGUCAUAUUAUUGUUUCAUAUAAACACAAGCCCAUAUAAACACCAAUUCUUAAGCCCAUAGGGUUAGCUAACACUACUACAAAAAAGCAAAAAGACGACGGUAAAUCACCGUCGUGUAUUCGAUUUUUCAAUGGUCGUGGAAUCCACCGUCAUCUUUUCCCUCAUAUACCACGACGCUAAAUCCCCGUCGUUGUUAAAAUAUACAACGUCAUCAACAAAUACAAAACGACGUCUUUGUACUGCAAAAAGAUCUAAAAAAGCAGUCGAGGAUGAGAAUAGACGACCAACUCUCUAAAAAAACCGUCGUUAAAAAGGAAAAAUAUGACACAUAUUAAGAGAACAAGGCCGCAAGAUAGACAUACAACGACGGAAAUAAAAAAACGACGCCGUUAAAUAUCAUUUUCACGACAAUAAAAAAUUUGACGUCUUUAAAUACAUUAGAAGACGACGUUAUUGAUACCUACUACGUCGCAUAUAUAAAAACAGUCGUCGUAAAAUUAAUUUUCCACUUCGAUUUUUCGAUAAAAGAUGACGUGGAAAUAGUUGUCAGUGUCAUUAUUUACGACGUAUGUAUUUAUUGAGUAAACGUUGAAAAACGAAACAACGUCGGUUACAAAUAUAUGAGAGUCGUAUUACAAAAUUUAUACGUCAUAUUUUCAGAAAAAAACAACGACGAUAAAUAUUAGACGUUGUUAAAUAAAACAACGUCGGAAAACAAUAAAAACAGACGUGUUUAGUCUGCUAAAGUUCUAGAAAAUAGUCGAGGAUGAGAAUAGACGACCAACUCAAACAAAUCACCGUCGUUAAAAAGGAAAAAUAUAAAAGAACAAAGGCCGCAAGAUAUACAUACAAAGAUGACAACUAAAAUUUUACGCCGUUAAAUAUAAUUUACACGACAAGAAAAAAUAUGACGCCUUUAAAUACAUGAGAAGACGACGUUAUUGAAAUAUACUACGUCUCUUAUUUACAAACAACCGUCGUGAAAUAAAUUUUCCACUUCGAUUUUUCUAAAAAAGAUGACGUGGAAAUAGUUGUCAGUGUCAUUAUUUACGACGUAUGUAUUUAUACAGUUGACGUUGAAAUGCGAAACAACGUCGGUGGCAUUUAUAUAGUCGACGUUGUAUUUAUAUCUAUCAUCAUUACUCACGACGCACUUAAUAAUAUAGACGACGUUGAACUUCUAAACAACGUCGGUCCAAAUAAAANNNNNNNNNNNNNNNNNNNNNNNNNNNNNNNNNNNNNNNNNNNNNNNNNNNNNNNNNNNNNNNNNNNNNNNNNNNNNNNNNNNNNNNNNNNNNNNNNNNNGAGUCGUGUUAUUUGAAUUACAUGGCGGUUCUUAAUCCUUCCCGACGUGAUAUCCUGAAUAAUUGCUUCACAAAUUGCGUCGUGGUUCUUCAUUGUUACGUUGCUUUAAGACGUCGGUAAAUAUGCUGAAUAACUGGUUCACAAUAACGUCGUGUUUUAUUUGAACGUAGAAAGUGAAGAAAUCACAUUACAAUAUAUUACAAAAUUAAUGUCAUACACUGCCAAUUACAUAAGCAUCAUUCAAUCCAUAUAUCUUCACACCCAUCUCGAAUAUUUUGACCGCCUAACUCACCCACCAGUUCAUCAAAUGUGUCAACAUUUGGCAUCCCUCUAGUAAAUGGCUCACACUCAAUUAUCACAUCACCUAAGACUUCAUCACCAAUAACAUCAUUAUAUUCUCUAUUAGGCAUUGAUAACACUACCGACCAACCACGAUGCAUCGGGUCGUCAACAAAAAAUAUUUGUUUGACUUGAGAAGCCAAAACAAAUUGGUCAUUCCUAUGUCCAAUUUUACUCAAAUCUACAAGGGUAAAUCCAAGUUCGUCGACUACAAGACCAGAACUAUCUAUCCAAUCACACCUAAAGACUGGGAUUGUAAACUUUUGGUAGUCAAGGUCCCAAAUUUCUUGAAUGACACCAUAGAAACCCAUAUUUGAGAGAAUUGGGUUUUUAUCCUUGGCACUAGCAACUUGCAUGGUAUGUGCAAGUAAAUAAACUCCACUAUUUUGAGUUGUCCGCACAUCAUCUUGUGCCUUGAUAUUGAAUUUAAUACCUUUAAUAAGAUAGCUCCUAUAUAAUGGCACUGACAUGUUUGGACCAGCUGCUAGCCACCUUAAAUUUUCUGAUACGCCAUGAUUGUCUUCCUCAAGUUCACUUUGAACCUGCGAAUUAAUCAUAUCUUAAUUCAAUCUAACAUAUAAAUAAGAAGAAAAUUAAAAGAGAAAUAUGUUAUUCAACAAUAUAUACCUUGAAGCGUAGCCAUUGAAUGAAAGUGCUAUUGUGCUUAUCCUGCAGCCACUUUGUUCUCUUUCUAAAUUUUGGAUAAGCAGUCUUGAUGUGAAUCAUAUGUUGCCUACAUGACACGAAAAAUUCAAGCAUUACGGUCCUAAAUAUAGAAGAUAAACAUAAGAAAUAAUUUAAAAUGGAAACUUAAAGAAUAAAGCUCAUACGUACUCGAUAUAAGGUAGGACUUCCUCCGUAUUCUCCAAGACAUAUAGAUGUGCUUGAUUCAACAGGUCCUGAUCAACUACGCUCACUGUGCAACCUGAUAAUGGCUUUGAAAGUCCCAUCUUUUGGCUUGAAGGCACUCCAACUGUACUAGCAUCAGAUAAAUGCUGAGUACAACACUCUACCGCUUCUUCAGCUAUAUACCGCUCAGCAAUGCAACCUUCGGGACGAGUACGAUUCUGAACAUACCCCUUCAGCACUUUCAUAUAUCUUUCAAACGGAUACAUCCACCUAAAAUAUACUGGCCCACAUAGACGAACUUCUCUGACAAGAUGUACUACUAAAUGAACCAUGAUAUCAAAGAAUGAAGGGGGAAAGUACUUCUCAAGCAAACACAGAGUAACUACUACAUCUUCUUCCAACUUAUCUAGCUUGGAAACAUCAACAGUCUUUGCACAUAUAGCAUUGAAGAAGAAGCACAAACGAGUUAUUGCAUACCUUGCAGGCUUCUCCAAAACAGAACGAAUUGCCACAUGGAGCAAUUGUUGCAUUAAGGUAUGACAAUCAUGUGAUUUAAGGCCAAGAAGUCUUGAAUUUUGUAAAGAUACAAGAUUUUUAAUAUUUGAAGAAUAACCUUCAGGGACCUUCAUACCAUAGAAAGAAUUGCAAACCUCUCUCUUCUCUGCUCUUGACAAAUUCCAAGGCCCAGGAGGCAAACGAGUACGUCUUUCUCCAUACUCGGGUUGCAAAUCAGUUUUGACCCCCAUGUUCAAUAAAUCUAAUCGAGCAGCAAUCCCAUCUUUAUUUUUUCCAGGGAUCUCCAGCAAUGUACCAAUGAUACUAUCGCAAACAUUCUUCUCAAUGUGCAUAACAUCUAGGGCAUGCCUUACAGGAAGGUAUUUCCAAUACUCGAGAUCAAAGAAUAUUGAUUUCUUCUUCCAACAAACUCUGUCACCAUUUUCAACCAUAUGCAGCACUUCUUCUCCGGUUAAUGGCUCGGGAGGUAUGCCAUAUUCAGGUUUCCCAUUAAAAGCUGCACGUUGCCUCCUAUAUGGAUGAUUGAUCGGUAACCAUUUUCUAUGCCCAAUGUAACAAAUUUUGUGGCCAUUUUUCAACCUGUGACUAGGUGUAUCAUCGCCGCAUAUUGGACAAGCUUUAUAUCCUUUAACAACACAACCAGAUAAGUUUCCAUAGGCGGGAAAAUCAUUAAUUGUCCACAUUAAUGCAGCUCUGAGUGUAAAGUAUUCUCCAUUAUGUGCAUCAUACACUCCUCUAAUCCCAACCCACAAGGAUUUUAAAUCAUCAAUCAAAGGCUCCAAGUAGACGUCUAUAUCAUUUCCGGGUUGUUUAGGACCGGAAAUCAAUAAGGUUAACAUCAUGAACUUUCGUUUCAUGCACAGCCAUGGAGGGAGAUUAUAUGUAACUAAGAUAACCGGCCAACAACUAUAUCUGCUACUUAGAGAACUGUGGGGAUUGAAUCCAUCAGAUGAAAGAGCCAAUCUCAAGUUUCUCGGCUCAUUACCAAACUCAGGCCAUUUAUCAUCAAGAAGUUUCCAAGACGGGGAAUCCGCCGGAUGAGACAUCUGACCGUCAAUUGAUUUUCUAGCAGCAUGCCACCAAGUCAAACUCUUAGCUGUCUCAUGUGAUUGAAACAUCCUUUUAAACCUUGGAAUUGGGGGAAAAUACCACACCACCUUCGCUGGCACACCCUCUUUCAAGAUUGAAUCUUUGCCUUCCUUCCACCUUGAGAUACCACAAGUAGGACAAUUAGUUGAAUCCUCAUACUCCUUCCUAUACAAGAUGCAAUCAUUGGGGCAUGCGUGCAUUUUCUCAUAACUCAGCCCCAAUGCACACAAAGUCUUUUUAGCCUCAUACAUGGAGGUUGGUAUUGUAUUUCCUUCUGGAAGCAAAUCGCCUUGAAGUAUCAAUAAUUCUGUAAAACAGACAUCACUCAUCCCAUGUUUUGCCUUCAAAUUAUACAACUUCACUAAUGCCGAUAACUUCGUGUACUUUCUACAACCAGGGUACACUGGUUGAUCUCCAUCCCCAAUCACAUUGGCAAACUCAUACGGAUCCGAACCAAAAUCACCAAAAUCAUUAUCAUCCAUAUCAAUUUCUUCAGACACAAAACUGUACCUACUAUGGCCAUCAUCUUCUUCAACAUUUCUACUAGCAUUAGUAGUUGCUUCCCAAGGUUCUCCGUGAAAUGUCCAAUUCUUAUAGCUUUGGUCAAUUCCAUUAAAGUAUAAGUGAUCCCUUAUAAUUCCAACCCCAAACAACUUCAAAUUAACACAUUUAACACAUGGACAACGGAUAUGUGUUGUAGUUAGAAGAUUUUCUACAGCAAAGUUCAAAAAUGCUUCCACCCCAAAUUCAUAUGCCUUCGAUCUUCUAUCCGAGUGCAUCCAUGACUUAUCCAUCUCCGACACUAUAACCUAUUAUCUAUAAUAAAGUGAAAAUACAGGCAAUGACCAUCACUAUAGCAGAUUAUACAAUGAUCUAAUCGCAAGUAAUACACAACAGAGACGACGGGUUUUAAACAAAAACAGACGUAUUUGGCAUAUAUAGACGACGGAUUUUCAACAGACGUCGUCUAUUAUAAGUAAUACAAACGACGGUUUAUGAAAAAACCGUCGUGUAUAAGUAAUACAACGACGGUAGUUUAAAAACACCGUCGUGUAAUCGUCGUCGUAAGCCUUAAAAUUCGUCGUGUCUCAGUUUAUUUUCAAGAACACAAAACCCAUUAAGAACACAACAUAUAUAUGAAACCAAGCAAGAAACCAACAUAUACAUGAAACCAAGCAUGAAAACAAUAAAUCCAUUCCCAAUUCAACAUAACAUAGGGUGAUUAAAAGAUACGACAAAAUUAAAUCCAUUCCCAAUUCAACAUAACAGAUAAUGUAAUCCAUGAACCCAUUAAACAGAAAAUCCAUGAACCCAUACCUAUAAGCACAUUAUUAACAGAUCGCAAAGCAUACACAUAAAACCCUUUAACAAAACAACCUAAUAUAACUCGAAUCGUUACUAGAAUCAUCACUCGAAUCCCCAUCUUCAUUAUCAGUUUCUUCCUUCGUAUUUGCUCCCCAUCAUUUUCUCCAUAGCGGAAAAUGACAAGAUCAAAUAAAGGUGUACUUUUGCUGGAAAUCAUUUGGAAGUUGGUGAUCUGUGUCUUUUUGUGUUCAUUUCCAGCAAAAGUACACCUUUAUUUGAUCUUGUCAUGAACCCAUUAAACAGAAAAUCCAUGAACCCAUACCUAUAAGCACAUUAUUAACAGAUCGCAAAGCAUACACAUAAAACCCUUUAACAAAACAACCUAAUAUCAUUCAAUGAAUUUACAAGGGGAAGAUAGGGUUUGUACUUACAGGUUGGACGAGCUCACAGAUUCGACGGAGCCUGGAGAGUGCAACUUUUAAUUAGAGCAGAAGUGAGAGAGCGAAAUGUUAUGUCGCGCGAAAUCUGAAAAUUUUAGGUUUCAGGGUUCGAAGUAUAAGAAUAAGAGCCAAAUCUAAAAAAAUUUAGGUCGCGCGAAAAUUUUUAGAGUUCGCGCGUUUUAAAACGUCGAAAGAAAAACCAAGGCGAAAGUUCUACACGUACCGACGUAAAUUUAAUAUUCCACGACGGAAACUUCAUUUUUCGGAUUAAGAACGUAAGGCCGUUCAUUUUGAAGCUUCAUUUUUCGGAUUAAUUUUAAAUUUAUUUUGAAUUUUUUAUAUAACGACGACUGAAAAACCACGUCGGUGUUAAGAAAUUAAAGACGUUGUAAAUUAUAUAAACCGACUUACAUAUUAAAAUGACGUCGUUUAAAGAGUAACCAUGUCGUAUGUUUUUCUGUACGACGUAAAAUAUGUAUUCCACGACGCAACCACCGUCGUUAAAAAUUAAUACCCUAAACCCAUAAAACUAAAUUAUACAAUUUAAAAAAUUAAGUUUAUAAAAGGUUUUAUGGUUUUAAAGCCUAACAUAUACCCUAGACUACCCAAAAAUUAUACUUUAAAAAUAAACCCCAAUAAAUAACAACCCUAAUCUCUAAACCCUAGACUCUAAACCCUAAACCAUAAAACUAGAAGUGAUUUUAUGACUCAUCAAAACAAUUUUGUUUUGGAUGGUCAUUUUAAAUUUUUGUUAUUCAAAAUGAAUUUUUUCAAGGUUUAUGUGGAAGAAAAUAUAUCAAUGACUUCAUAGGAGUUGACUUUUCAAUUUUCUGAUUUAUUUUAAAUUUAUUUUGAAUAUUUUGAUAUAAAAAUAAUAAAAUAUUCUUACCACAACAACAAACCACGUCGGUGUUAAUAAAUUGUAGACGUUGUAAAUUGUAAUAGACUACUAAGUCGUUAAAAUGACGUCGUUAAAAUGAGAAACCGUGGCGGCUAUUUACCUAUACGACGUAAAAUAUAUAUAUCAACGACUUAACCGCUGUCGUAACAUAAACGUCGUCGAUGAUACCCUGAACCCUUAAGAAAUUGAAGAUGUUGUAUAGCAUAAACGACUCAAUUGUUCAAAGAACGUCGUCUAACUAUAUUUUUACGUCGUAUUUGUUUAAAACACGAAACAACAAAAUACGACGGUUUGUGACUUUAUUAGGUCGUUGGAAAAGUAUUACACGUCGGUUAAGCAAUUUGUAUGUUUGUUUUUUUUUUAAUUUAAGAAAACCUCAACAAAUUUUUACAUUACAUAUUAUAGAGAAAAUUUGUACAUUAUAUAUAAAUAUCAAGUGUUCAAUAAUUGCCCUGUUUAAUAAUUUGGAAAACAAACUCUGCCCAUUCAUUCCGGACUUCAUCAAUGGCUUCUUGGGGGUAUGAAGCUUCCUGGUUUCCCUUGGCAUACUGCAUAAACAAUGACUAUUAGGGUUUAUAAAUAAAAAGAAAUUCAAUCACAGACGACGAUAUUUUUCAUAACCGACGUAGUAUAUCCAUUCAACGACGUUAAUUUUACAUGACCGUCGUUGAUAAUACAAAAAAUGACGUGAAAUGUAUGAAGGUAAUUUCUUCUUACCUUAUUCUCAAACCCCAAGGAAAGAUCCAUGAUGAUGUCCCUCAUGAAGCGCAUCACAUAAUACCCGCAUUCGACAUUGCUGGGUUGCUUUGGUGUGCCUGAGAGAGUUUUCCAAAUUACAUUUUUACGUCCUGCUCGGCCUAUGUGGGUAUUAUAUAUUUUUAAAGCACUGUUCACGAUGUUUUUCGCCUCUUCGUCGACCACACGAUGACCUGGCAGAGGAUCCAGAAAAUAGACGGUCUCCUUCUUUGCUCUUACAAUCAGCAAGAUCCAAUGACGGCUGCACAAAAUUAAUAUAAAAACGACGGUUAUUUACAAAAACGACGUAUUAUAGUAUUUCAUACGACGAAAUAAAGUAGAUAACGACGACAUUAUAUAUUUAUCACGACGACAAAUAAAUACCGACGUGGUUAGUAGUUUCAAACGACUAAAUAAAAUAAAACACCGACGUGGUUAGUUUAUAAGCUGUCAUUUAUUGAAAAUCAUAAAAACAAAAUCCUAAGGAGACUAACCCUGGAUUGUAAGGCAUCAUGAAAAGCUGUUCACCGUCUGUCUUCUGAAGUCGAGCUGCUACCAGUCGUGAUCUUUCAGUUAUUGUGCCAGAGUUGGCACUAACUGUAGCAGGGUCAAUAAAGCCAACCAUGCUGCACAUAUUGGCUUGUUUCAAAACAUCGUGUAAGUACCUAAAUACAUAAAAUAAUAUAAACAAGUCAGCAAAAACAAACACGACGGUUAUGUAUAAAAAAACGACAUAUUAUAAUAUUUCACACGACGUACUGAAAUAGAUAAGGACGUUAUAAUAUAUUUAUCACGACGGUAGUUAGUUAAGACGACGUGGUUAGUUAGUUAAGACGACGCAAUAUAUAAACCAACGAGUUAUUAUCUUAGAAAUACAAACCUCAUAUAUACAGCCAAUACAGUAGCUCCAAUUUCUUCCAUGCCUGCAAAUUGUGUAAUAUCUUCAGGCAGGAGGAAGGUAUCGCGCUCACCACCAAACACCUCCUUAUCAAUUGUAAAUUGGAGUGUCUUAUCCUCAGGCAGGAGUGUCGUUUCCACAAAACGACAAAGGGUUUUUAAAGAAGAUGGCGCCUCCAUAUUUGAAUAAGCACCAACUUCAAUAACCUGUUUAAAGAAAUAAAAAAAAUGACGUGGUAAUUCAAUAAAGACGACGGUUUAAGGAAUAAAACGUCGUCUUAAAAGGAUUUAAACGACGGUGAAAAAACUGUCGUGGUAAUUCAAUAAAGACGACGGUUUUAUUAAUAAAGCGUCGUCUGAAACCAUUUAAACGACGGUGCAAAAACCGUCGUUUAAAUAUUUUAUUACGUCUUAAAAAAAGUCCGCCGUCUAAGUUUUAAACAAACGACGGAUUAAAUAAAAGGGAGACUUUGGAAAAGCCCAAAGGAGAGAGAAAAAUUUUAAAAGAAGUCGAAAUGGACAAAAUUGCCCUUAUUUAUUUUUUGAUUUCCUAAGGAAUCCUUUACAUUUGCAUGUCUUUGGUUUGAAAGUUGAGAGAUUUUUCUGUCUUUUUUGAAAAAGCUUUGGCUUUUUCCAAAAGUGAAAGUUUUUUUAUGGGUAAAACCUAAAUUUACUUAAAUAAAAAUAUCGACGUCUGAAAUUUUGAAAAACAAAUAAAAAAGGCAAAGUUAUGUGAACAUACCUUGUCGUCAUGCUUUUCUUCAUCUUCUUUCUCCUUUUCUUCUUCCUUCUCUUCAUCUCUUUUUUCUUCUUCCUUCUCUUCAUCUGGCUGAUGUUUCCCCAUUUUGGCAGUAUCAUCCUCCAAAUGUAGGGAUCUCACAUCACCUCCAGAGCAGCUAGCUUUGUCAGACAUUGGAUUUUUGGGGCUUUGGCUAAUUCUUGGUUUAAGCAUGCUUGGAUCAAAAUUGGGAAUUAAUUGGGAAAGCUGACUCAGGAAAUGCUCCCUCUCAGCCUCUACCAAUUGUUUUGUCCUAGCCUCCAUCCUUAAGGCCUCUUCCCUUGCCUUAGCCUCCAUCUUUUUAGUCUCUUAUUGAAGGAGAACUCUUAAACUGUCCUUCAAACGGUCGUCAAAGCUCACCCUCUGUGGUUUGGGCAAAUUGAAAUAUUGCCUUGGGGAAACACCAGCACCAACUCCCCUCAGUCUGCCUGGAUGCUCGGGGCCCAAAGCCAUGGUCAGCACAUCAUUGCUGCCAUCUACUCUGACUUUGCCUUCCGAGACUUGUUUCUGCAAUUCAUCCUAAAAAAAGAUAAACAAAAAACACACGACGGUUAUUUAUGUACAAACGACGUAUUAUAUAAUUUCACACGACGCAAUAACGUAUAAACCGACGUUAUUAUAACUUAUCACGACGGUAGUUAUACCGACGUGGUUAUUUAUUUAAAACGACGAAAUGAAUAAACAACCGACGUCUUAUGCUAUAAUUAAAGAUAACAGAGUAGUGAUUCCUAUUUAGACCGUUAACGACGUUUUUAAAAAAGUUUCGACGUGGUAAUAUCAUUCACACGACGCGAAAAUGAACCACCGACGUCUUAUGCUGUAAUUACAGAAAACAUAGUAGUGAUUCCUAUUUAGACCUUUAACGACGUUUUUAAAAACUUUUCGACGUGGUAAUAUCAUUCAAACGACGAAAAAUAUAACAUACGACGUAAUAAGAAUAAUUCACAGUUUAAUAAAAAUUUAAAACAGAGUGAUAGUAGGCUUACAAUUAAUUUUGCUUUCUCUGCCACCUUUGGAUCAGGGAUGUUACCAUGUUUGUCCUGUCUAGCUCUCUUCCAUAAGGUAGAUCGAUCAAUUUCUACCCCAGGCAUGGUUUCCUCCAAUUGAUCCUCCAAUCCAGCAUAUCCUUUUCGAGACAAUCGAUGAUUGUACUCGAGUUUCUCCCUAAUCUGUGCAUGUUGAGAAUGCACAGACUCAAAAUCUUUGGAUAGCCUUGAAGCUACAAAGGCAUCCCAUUGUGCUUUCUCUAUGAAUUUAUAUGUUUCAGGGGGUUGGCUUAAUUUCUCCCUGUCAUUGGUGUAUGGAAGGAUAUAAUGCCUCGUUAGUGUAGACUUGAAAUCCUUCCAUUUCUUGGAAGCAGAAGCUAAAACAGAGGUCUUGCCCCCUUGGCCUACGACAAAAGCCAUGUCAACUGCUUCCCAAAUCUGUUCCUUUAUAUCCUUGGGGAUUUGGGACCAUUUCUUGUCCACAAGUGGGAUCCUGGAGCGUGCCAACACACCAAUAUACGACUGCAUCUCAAUAUGUGCUUGGCCAACACCUUUCCCCCUUUUAUUGUACUCAACAAUUGGCCUCAGUUUCUGAAGCUUUCUCUUCACAACACGAGGCAUUGUGCUCAUACCUCGACCAGUCUUUAAAUCAUCAGAGAUUGUUGUCUGGCUGGUUUGUUCUGUCUCAGCAGAUGAUGAAGCAAACUUCAUCUUCUUCGAAGACUUCAUCUCCUUCGAAGACUUGUCUUGAGGAGCUACCAUUCCAAGCUUCUUGGAGCCAGAAUCCUUAGUUUGUUGUUGAGAAACCAUUUUAACAGACAAAACUGCAAGUGAAAAUAUUUCAGGAAAACAUUAAGAACACAAACGACGGUAUUAAAAAAAUACGACGUAUGAUAUGAUUUUAGACGACGCAAUGAAAUAAUCUCAGACGUAAUAAAUGUUUAAAACCAUUAUUUAUAUAACGUCGUGGUAUAUAUGUUCACACGACGUCAAUAGUAAUACACCGUCGUGGUAAACUAUUAUUUAUAUAACGUCGUGGUAUUUAUGUUCAUACGACGUCAAUAGUAAUACACCGUCGUGGUAUUAACAUUCACACGACGUAAAACAAUAAGAUAUUUUGUCGUCUAUAUUAGAUACCAACCCUAGUUUCUUUUUCUUUAUAUUUUAUCAAAUAAGGGAAAAACAAAAACCAUUGUUCAGAGAAAUCAAACCUGCAAUUAAACAAGCAUAUAAAAAAAGACUAUUAUUUUAAAAACAACUUUGUCAAUUUUCAGACGACGCUAGAACAACUGACGAACCGUCGUGGUCUACCGUCGUCUUAUUUAGUUGAUGUAGUUGUCUUCAAAGUUGGAAACUUUCCCUCUUUGUCUGUAUAUUUUAUCAAACUUGGAAAGAAGUAAAAUGAUUUUGGCCAGAAAAAAGGUCAAAAGAUUUUUCAAACAAAAAACGUAUGAGCAUGCAAAACAGUAACCAAAAUAGUGAAAAUGAAAGCUUACCUUUUGCGUGCAAUGAAAGCAAGAGGAAGAUGAUCGAUGUUUAAGUUCAGAGACGACGAAGAAGACGAGAGGAAGACGAUGAGAAACUCUGACAAUGCUCUGACAAGGAAAAAAGACGAAAAGGUUUCUCUGGGAGAUUGAAAUUUUUAAUCGGGUUUGGAAACAGUGCAUGUGUAAGUCGAAAAGUUGCUUACAUAUAAAACCAUUUCAAAGAAAUAAUACGGCGGUUACAUUUAACUACGUCGUUUUUAACUAACACGACGCAAUAUUUUUCGUUCGACGUGGAAUCAUUUCAUUUAACGUCGUUAGGUUUAAUAUAACCGACGUGGAUUUUAAUUUUUAAAUUAUGAAUAGAAUUUUUUUUCCCGUGACCUUUCAGUUUAUUUUUCAAUUACAGUGCGUUAUAAAUAAAGUUUUUUUUCCGGAGGAAAUUUAAAACGAAGGAAAUUAAUAUUCUGCAAUAUAUAAAGUUUCUUUUUUGGAUGACAGAUUUAAAUAAAAUAAGAAUAUAAAAACAACUAAUGUGUAAGUCAAGUAGACGAAAAGUUGCUUACAUAUAAAACCAUUUCAAAAAAAUAAUACGGCGGUUACAUAUAACUACGACGUAUAAAUUACAAAAUACGACGGUACAUUUAACUUCGGACGUGGUAAAUAAAUACGACAGUAGUUUGUAGGUACCGUCGUAGUAAACUCAAAAAUUAAAGUACAUAAGUAAUAACUCGCGUCAUGGUAGAUUAUUUAACACGUCGUUUUUAUUAAUUUACCGACGUGGAUUCCUGUAAUAUACGUCUAUCAUACCGACGUUGAUUUUACAAUUUAAACGGCAUUUUUUUUGUAAGGACCGCCGUUGGUUUUAAAAAUUUAUUCUAUAAAUUUGUCGCUUUCAUUCAUUUUCGGUUUACAUUUAAGGUUCCAAGUUCUUCCUCUCUUACUCGCAUCAAAUAUAUGUCCACAAGAAGAAGCUUGUCAACUAGCCUUCUCACUUCCUUGAUCAAGCCUGAUAGGACACUUAGUGCUUCUGAAUACUCCUUGCUUUCCAUCAAAAGAGAUGCAAGCCUGGCCUCCACUCGCUGUCGAAGGAAAGUUCGCUUCUCAGGGAAAUCUGAAGAUCAGAUGUGCCUGAUCCUUUGCUUAAUUUUCUUGCCUAAGAAGAUCCGUCGGAUUUGUGAUAGCCUCUUCCUUUAUCCGUAGAGCUUCAGAAGAAGAAGAUGGGUUUCAAGAAUGCGAUAAAGAAUAGAAAUGGCUUCAGAUGGCCUCUAAAGCAUGAGCAAUUGAAUCAGUAGUUUCUGGGAGAUAUGAUGAAGACAUUGUCAAUGCUUUGAACUACACAAGUCCUGCAGAAAGAUAUGUUAAAGAAACUGAAACAACGGCGGUUUUCUGUUCUACCGUCGUCUUUUAUCGUCGUCUAUAUUAAGUUAAGAUGGCGGUAGAUUUAUAAUUACCGACGUAGAUUAUUUUGUUAAACGUCGUUAAGUGUACUACAACCGACGUGGAUUUUAAUUUUAAAUUAUAAAUAGAGUUUUUUUUCCCGUAUUCUUUCAGUUUUAGUUUUCAAUUCCAAAGCGUGAUAAAUAGAUUUUUCUUUCCCGAGGAAAUUUAAAAUGAGGGAAAUUAAUGUUCUAGAAUUUGUAAACUAACACGACGCAAUAUUUGCAAAUCUGUGUCAUCUGUUAAGAUUAUGAUGUGGAACAGAGUUCCAUCUGGUAAGAUUUCGUAACCCUUGGGAUCUCAGACAAAUCUGAUUAUGUCGGCGGUGUUCUAUAUAAACCGUCGUGGUUAUUUCAAUUCUUGUCAUUAAGUAGAUCUACCGACGUAGGAUAAGAAAAUCAAAGAAAAAAAUUGUUAACAAAAAUUCUUAUUAAGACGACCGUUAAAAUUAAAGGUACGACGUAUAAAAUGAAUAAAUACGACGAUAAAAUUUAUUGUACGAUUUAAAGAUAACGUCGUAGAACUAUACGAGAAUGACGUCGUUAUAUUUAUAUUUUCCGUCGUUGUAAAUUAAUUUAAUACGGCGAUAUUUUGUAUUUUAAAGCCGUGGAUUUGUUUGUAAUUAUACGGCGUCUUAUACGAAAACCUCGUCGUGUUAUUUUAUGAGUAAAAACGGCAGUUUUUAUUGAAAUCGUCGUCUUUACUUUCUACGUCGGUCGAUUCAUAACUUCUGCCGUUCUUUGUUGGCAUUGAUUUUACACUGCGGAAAUCUGUUUCAAAUAGACGUCGGUUGUUUAAUUAUGUACGUCGUUGUUUUUGAACAGCCAUUUAAAACUCCAUUUUUAGUUGUCUAAGGUUGUAUUACACGACGGUGUUUUUAGAACCGUCGUCUUUUUAUAAACCACGACGGUUUUCACUUAGACCGUCGUUGUUUUCUGGUCGUCUUUUUCACUUUUUGUAGUAGUGUAAAUGGUGAGGUUAGGUGGUGCAAUAUAUUAGAAUUACGGUUCAUCAAAAGGUUAAAUUUGCUUCCAUUAUUAAGAACAGAAUAAAUAUAAAAUUACUUUGGUUUCUCAAACGGAUUUUCCUUUCACAGAGAAUAACGCAUAGCUUGGCACCACCCCUCAGAAGACACAAUCAAAUAAUAAAAACAGAUUUGUAUUUCACCUAAGCAACUCAUGAUUUUGGCACAAAGAUAAAUUAUCCAGUACAAAUUUCCUUUAUUUGUUUUUUCACAUGUAUCCAUACUCCUUUUCAGUAACCAAUGCAGUGAUGCAAACCUUCCUUGCAAUUUGUGCGCCUACAAUAGGAAAAAUGGAAAAAAUUAGACCCAAGAGAAAUCGUAAAAUUGCACAAUCUACAAAUUUGAACAGCAAGAAAGAAAAAAACAGUACUUAGAAUGAACUACAACAACCAAAUAAUGAGAGAACCUCAAAAUACAACGAAUCAAAUUCUAUAAUGACAAUUACCCAAAUUGAAGUAAAUAAUUAAAGUUUCAGAAUUCUAAUAGUGCAACUAAAAAAGAAAAUUAUCGCUUUUCUUUUAUUUAAAACAAAAACAUUACAAUCAUGAAGCAUGAAACUUAAACUGAAUACAGAACAGGAAAGAAAAAAAUUGCAACCAAAUGUUCCUAUUAUAGGAAAAGGGACUAAUAUAGGAGUUCAAUUGGGAAAAUGGAAAUAUUAGAAGCCUUUAAGGCUUUUUAUACAAAGAGAAAAAGAUAUCACACAAAAACAUUAACAAAUUUCAUACGGCAACUCUGUACUUAAACUAACUCUUUACCCAAAAAAGGAAAAGAAAAGAAAAAGUAGAGCUAUACUAAUUAUUUCUCCGCUAAAAAGACAAUCAUCUGCUAUUUCGUGGAAUUUGCAUGUUUGUCUGCUAAACAUGUUUUGUUCUUACAACCUGUUGUGUGUAAUCUAACUGCUGGUUGCCUGUGAAGAUCCUUUAACUUCGUCAACAAUUUCCUCCUGGUUGUGUCCUCCUCCUUUACAAAUAAUAGUAAUGUAUAUACCUUAAAUGCUUCACAGCUUUAUCUCUUAAUUGUUCCCCUCUGAAAUUUUUUGACUUCAUCCAUUAUGCACAACAAAACAGAAUAGAUAGUUUAAAGAACAAAACUAAUAUCAACUAUUGAAAACAGGAAUAGUGGCUGAAUUUAUGUUCUAUUGCCAAAUCACAUACCAAAUGUAUGCUUCGUAAUAAACCAAAAUGAAGCUAUUGAUCUGGCAAACAGAUAAAUAAGUUUAAACAAACAAACAAAGGCAUAGUCACCCAAAGACUCAAUCUUUGGGUUCAAAUACUAAAACAAUUUAUUCAACAUAUAAAGAUGAUAUAACUUGGAUUAAAUAUCAUCCAAUUUGUUUCUUUCUUAUAAGAUCUGCAUUAGAAGGUCAGAGCGUUUUCAGUCAAAAGAAAAGGGAAUUUCACAGAAAGUUGAAAUAGAAGUAACUCAAAGAAAGCAUUUUCUUCACCUAACUGCUUCUAACCCUUCAACUCCUCUGCCAAAAGAAUCCCCUGAGAAAACAAAAGAAGAACAAAAAUCAAAGCCUAAUCUGGACACAACUCUAAAUAAAUGAAUUAAUGAGAAAAGCAGAGAUGAAGAGGAGAGCAUCGCAAAACUGGAAGCAACUAAAAUGAACUGCUGAUUAUGAAUAUAACAAAGCUUCUUGAAGCAGACCCAUCUAAGCUUAUAAUCUGCAGUGGAAAAGAGAAUGAGAAGAAUGCCCAAGCAAGCAUCCAUCCCAGUACUCUUACAUGGAAAAAAAAAAAUUGCAUGAUUCAGAAUUCUGUAACAGAAAUUGACACAUUAAAUCUAACACAAAUAACAUGUUAUCUAAAACUCAAACAAAUUAAUACAACACUCGAAAAGCAAAAAUACCACUCGACAUUCCAAAUGUCAUCUAUGAAUGGCACAUAACUUGUCCCUCUCAAUGUCAGUACACAAUCAAAAACUGGAAGCACCGUGUUAUUUGGAGUGUAACACCAAAAAAGUGGCCUGAAAACGGAGUCUUACUCCGUGGUCAUGAUAUCCAGCUUCUUUCCAGUCGGAUUCUUUGUGUAAAGGACAAUUGCCAUUUCCUGGAUAAGCACUUGAUGUAAUCAGAGAAAUCCAACUCAAAGGUUGCAAAGAUUCAUGACCAAUGAUGCGCGAUAACUGGUAUAAAACUAUGAAUAGCACACAAUAAACAACAGAAAGAAGAAACCUUGAUACAAUUAACAUGACUAUUGCAAAUUCAAAAAGAAAUAAAUGACCAAAACUCUGCUGCACAAUUCUCUCCACUGGCGUAGAGUCUUCUUGAACAGAAAAAAUUGUGCAGCAACUCGUGAGAAACUCACCACCACCAUUGUCUCGAAUGCCCAUAUGGUAGCCAAGAUCAAAAUCAAGAAGUGCAGUACCACCAUUGCAUACCCAACAUGAGUGUGACAUUUCAGCAAACAAAUGGAGAGCAUGUGGUGAUAUGCCAGAUGUAUCAACCCCAAAACCCAAUUGCUUCCAAGCUUCUUGAUCAAGAUUCUUCAAAGACAAAAACCGAGUAAUCUUCUGAAUUGAACCGAUGGAAACAGAAGACAACUAAGCAGGCAAACCUUGCGUGGAUGGUGAUUCCGGAAUCGGCGAUGUCCGAUGACUGUUGCAUCUCGGCGUCGGCAGAGGUGAGACGCCCAGAUUCUGAUUUGGGGACAUAGAUGAGGAUUGUGGAUUUCCAAGAGAGAGAGAUCGAUCGCAGAGAUAAGCAGUCCAGUGCACGCCAGGGCUUCCGCGCGUUCGUUGAAGCUUUUCACUUGUUUUCUCAGUCACGUGUAUAUCACGUGAUAUUUAAUAACAAAGGGCUCAACAAGUCUUCAGGUCAUUCAAUCUCAGCCCUUCAUUUUUACGAUGCAAUACUGACCCUUGGAUAACUGACUGCAGAAUUUUCCAGAUUGUUUGGCCCACCUUCUAUUAACCAUUGAAAAAACAAUUAUAACUUUUUUGUUUAUAAACCUGACCUAAAUUAGUUGGUUUUCCUUUUUAUUGAUCAGAUCUAAGAGCAUGUACAGCGCUGAGGGGUUGGCCCAGGCAAAAGGCAAAAAUCAGCCCAAGUCCAGCUCCAGCGCGUGCAAAGCAGCCCGGGCAAGGUAGUAGGCACCAGAGUAUACAGUAUUGUUGAUUUGGUAUGUGACCUGAGGGGAAUGACCUCGCAAUACCUCGUCGAACACCGGGGAUUGACCAAGGACAUUGAGGUCAUUCUGAGAUCCGGCAACCCCAAAAAAGGCAUGCCAAACCCAAGUGUCGAAUGAAGCUACGGCCUCCAAAAUGAUACUUUUUUGGCCCUUCCGAUUCCCAUACUCUCCUUGCCACGCAGUAGGACAAUUCUUCCACUGCCAAUGCAUGCAAUCGAUGUUUCCGAUCAUUCCUGGGAAACCUCGAGCCUCGCCUUUUUGUAGAAGCCUUUGCAGGUCCCUCGGAGUGGGUUUGCGAAGGUACUCCCUCGUGUACAAAUUUUCCACUGCAUCACAGAAUCUCACCAAGCACUCUAGGAUAGUAGAUUUUCCCAUCCUUGCAAUCUCAUCCACCUGCUCUGCAGAUGCCCCAUAAGCAAGCAUCCGCAAUGUAGCUGUAAGUUUUUGCUUCGGGAUAAGACCCAAAACUCCAACAGCAUCAUGCUUUUGAAUGAAGUAUGUGUCGUAAUUACAAAUAUCAUGCAUGAUUUUUUGGAACAAAUGUGGCUGCAUUCUAUAUCUCUCUCGAAACUUAUGAGCAGGAUAUAACGAAUUUGGGAUAAAGUAAUCCUCCAAGAGAUUCUUACCCCGAGACUCUCUGUGUCUGUCCACAUUCGGGGCACGACGACGAUGAUGUUGGCUUGAUUGAUUCAUCAUACACACCGCCGCUACUUCAAGCAUUUCUUCCUCUUCUUCAUCGGCGUCCUGAUCUUCUUCCUCACGUCUACGCCGGAUUUCUUCCCAUUCUUUCUGUUGCCUCUCCAACACCCUCCUGAAGUUUGACAUUGAGAGUAUAAUGUGUUUUGUAAAAUCUGAGAAAUGAAGGAAUAUAUCAGAGAUGGUGUGAGAGGAGUGGUGUUGAUGGUGUAGUUAUAUAGAGGGAUUCAGAAGAUAGAGAUGACACGUGGCACAAUUUUAGAGGGUGAAAAUCUUAUCUGAAAUCUGAGAUCACUAUUUGUAAAAAAAUAUCUGAAAAUCUUAUCAGACAUGGGACACGUGGCACAAUUUUAGAGGGUGAAAAUCUUAUCUGAAAUAUGAGAUUAUAAUUUUUUAAAAAUAUCUGAAAAUCUUAUCUGACAUGGGACACGUGGCACAAUUUUAGAGGGUGAAAAUUUUAUCGAAAAUCUGAGAUUAUAAUUUUUAUUAAUGAAUAUCCGAAAAUUUUAUCUGGAAUAAGACACGUGGCAACCGAGAUUCACAUCCGAAAAUUUAAUUACAAAAGAUUAUCAAAAUUAAUGAUUUAAAGUAUAAAAAAAUAGGAAAUAAAGUACAAUGAAUAGUAAUUGCCCUAGACUUGCCCUAGACUUUGCCCUUGUGGGUGGAACCACAAAUGGCAAGGCUGACACUAUUCACGUGAAUAGUGUCAGCCCUUGCUUGCCCUUGCCUUAGACUUUGCCCUAAGGGGUGGAGUUGCUCUAAUCUCUCUCUCUCUGCAGCGACGACAACUCCACGGUGCUUGACUCGCGGCUUAUCCCUUCGACCUUCACCGGCGACUCCAAGGUUUUCUAGCUCAAGAUGAAGGGCAAUUACGAUUGCUAUCUUGCUGAGUUCAAGAUCGAUUGACUCGCGGCUCAUCCCUUCGGCCUUCACCGGCAACUCCAAGGUCUUCUAUGCUGAGGUUCCUUGAUUGGCCUGAAUCUCCAUUACAAACAUUGCCAUCCAUGUACUCAUUCAUGUAGCUAAAGGCUUUAAAGUACGGGGCCGGUCCAAUUGCAGUAAACUUUAAUGAUGACGGGUUCAGGUAAUGUUGCUUCUUCCACAUGAGAACUAUUGUUGGAUAUGCUUUUGCUUGUACCAUUGUUUCAGUUAAAGGAUACUUAUAUAUGUCUCUGUUGGCGAUAUCUUCUAAAAGGAACUUUGUGGAACAUGACUAUGAUACCACUAACUUCUCACGUUUCAUUAGCUCUACUUUUGGAAAUAUGUCUAUAAGCCAAGCCCUGGAUCAAAUUUAUGUAAUUCUUUACAAGCUCAUUAAAUUUUCAUAUUCUCUUCUCCACUUAUAGGAAAUUACUAACAAGGUGCUAAUGUUCUUUAAAUCUGUUCUCCUGUCUAUGUGAAGAGAAACAACCCGUUGAAGUGGAAAAUAAAGAUAAUGGAUGCCAUGGAAAUGGACUUCUCAUGGGAUGCUGAGUGCUGUGACAUAUGGAUCUAGCAAUAGAUAUCUGCAAAAUUUCAGUUUCUAAACCGAAUAGGUAUCUGCAAAAGUUCAAUUUCUGUAUCUAUUGAUUUAUUAAGACUAUAUGGAUCUAACAAUAGAUCCGUUAGGCCAGCUUUGUCAUUAAUGUGGGUUGAAAUGCUCUAUUAUAAGAGUUAAUUAAAAGAAGCCACCACAUUUUUUGUGUAAUAAGCUAAUUUUAGCGCAUAAUAGGUUGAAAGAGGCUUGUUUUACAUCUCUAUAACCUCUAGUGUAGCUUAAUAAAUUAGUUUUCUUUUUGUUAAUAAAUUAGGCUUUUUGUGUUUGUUAGUAGUUAUUUAGAUAUGAUCCCAAAUUACACAAAUUACUGAUUGUAUGCCUAUUUUUCCCUUUUCUUUUCCUUUUAAACUAGACUAAUUACUACUGAAAAGCUAGUUUUUACAUAAUUGCCUGUUCAUUUCUUCUUGAAUUUUUUCAGGUUUGUUGAUGUAGUUCUGACCAUACUUGGGGAACUCUAUUUCCUAUGUGUGGUAUGAACUUGGCAUUCAGCCGUGAACUGAUUGGACCAGCAAUGUACUUUGGACUCAUGGGUAUUGGUGAGCCAAUUGGAAGAUAUGGUGAUAUGUGGGCUGGCUGGUGCAUGAAGGUAAUUUGAAUUGCUUCAUUUUUAUUCCCUGUUUAUGUCUACUGAGAGCUUGUUGGGUCUAUUCUAUAUGAAAUAAACAACUCUUCCAUGGUAUAAAGCUCACUUGCUGUGCAUUUGUCUUGAUUUGAAAUAAGCAACUUAUUAUUAUAAAGCUCAUUUACUAUGCAUUUGUCUUGAUUUGGAAAUGGUUGAUGCCAUCACUGUCAUAUGAUAUUUUGUAAUACCAUUUAAGCUUUAGUUCAGUGAAAUUUUACACAGGUUCUGCGUUGUAGUUUUGCAAAAACUACAUUGUAGUUUUGCACAAACUACAUUGCAUUUUCAGAAAGUGUAUUGCAGUUUUGGCAAUUACAAUUGAAUUUUUGCUCUUUCCUCAGCCUUUAACCUCAUCAAUUUAAAGAGUAGAGGCUAUCUAGAUGAGGGAUUGGGUGGGCAAGAGAAGAGUAGAACUACCGAAGAGCAAGGGAACUCAAAAUUGGACUUUUGGAAACUGCAUUGCAGUUUCAUUUAAUUACAAUUGGAUUUUUGCUCUUUCCUUGGCCUUCAACCUCACCAAUUUGAAGAGUAGAGGCUACCCAGAUGAGGAAUGGGGUGGGCAAGAAGAGGAGAACUACCUAAGAGCAAGGGAACUCAAAAUUGGACUUUUGGAAACUGGAAACUGCAUUGAAGUUUUCAUUUAAUUACAAUUUGAAUUUUGUUCUUUCCUUGCCCUUCAACCUCACCAAGUUGAAGAGUAAAGGCAACCCAUAUGAAGAAUUGGGUGGGCAAGAGGAGUAUAAGUACCCAAGAGUAAGGGAACUCAAAAAUUGGAGUUUCCAUUUAAUUACAACAGUUUUUGUAGUUGUUUUUAUUUUUUUUAUUAUUUAACAUAAUUGAUAUCUACAUUGUAUUUUUGUUGCAGUUUCUGUUUUUAUUUGCAGUUUUUGUGUGAGUAAGUGUUGAAAUGAUUUUUAUUUUAUUUUUAAAAUCGUUGAUUGUUUAUAUAAAUAUUGUAUAACUGAAUAAAUAUUACAAAAUGAAGUUUUGGUGUAGUGGUUUGUGAGUGAGCCUUUCUCCUUUAAGGGUCAAGGUUCGAGUCCAUUCAGUGACACAAUUUUUUUUUUUUAAAGGUGAAUAAAGAGCAACAAAGUUGGUCCCCUGCAGACGGUGGCAGGCGGCGGGAUUCCAGCGGCAAUGGCUGGAGGCCGGAUUCCGGCGGUGGUGUCCACAUAUCCAAUGAGAUAAUCACACAUGACUUAAAAUAAAAUAUAAUGAUAUAUUUUAAAUAGUUUAAAACUUCAAAUCCUUUUUUUUUUUAAAUUAAGUCUUUUUAUAAAUAAAAAAGAUUAAAACAAAAAUACAUGCAACAAUCCCCCCGCUGCGUUCUCCUCCCUCUGCCAACGGGCCCCACCUUUGUAUUGUAGACCGACUCUCUCUCUCUCUCUCUUUCUCUCUCUCAAAUUGUAAACAGCAGAGAAUGGCAAUAUGGGAAUUUACUGAAUAUUGCAUUUUUGUGGAUAGAAAUUUAAAGUGAAUUUUAAAAGAGAAAAACAAACACUACCAUCAAACUUAGUAAAAGCCAAAAUCUGACCAUCAUGUACAUAAGAAGCUCCAUCGAUAUAACAUAACUUACAAACCAAUAUUAGUAUCAACAAGAACAAUUAUAAGAACGACAGGUUUUGUGGACAUAAAUUCGAACUUUUCUUAAUUUUAUGAAAACAUAGUUAUAUAUAUCUUCCUAACAACCUCCACCUCCACAACCGCCACCUCCACAACCGCCACCGCCACCACAAGCUGCACCACCAUCACCAACAAUACCGCCGCCGCCGCCUCCGUAUCUUUUCUUGCUUGAUCCUUCAUCAUCACCACAAGCAAAUAUGACCAUUGAUAUAAGUGUGAGAGACAUAAGAAUCAUGCAGAGCAAAAGUAUCGUCCCCGAGUUGUCUUGCAUGAUGCCUAGUUCCUCUGCGUGGCCACCACCUAGAAAAACAUAUGCUCCUCUA
This 31754-nucleotide long non-coding RNA is filed under the name Prunus persica (peach). Its description in RNAcentral is "long non-coding RNA (PPER_LNC003238)". The record is from RNAcentral. Lineage: Eukaryota; Viridiplantae; Streptophyta; Magnoliopsida; Rosales; Rosaceae.